UACGUAGGGUGCAAGCGUUAAUCGGAAUUACUGGGCGUAAAGCGUGCGCAGGCGGUUAUGUAAGUCAGAUGUGAAAUCCCCGGGCUUAACCUGGGAACUGCAUUUGAAACUGCAUGGCUUGAGUACGGUAGAGGGGGGUAGAAUUCCACGUGUAGCAGUGAAAUGCGUAGAGAUGUGGAGGAAUACCGAUGGCGAAGGCAGCCCCCUGGACCGUAACUGACGCUCAUGCACGAAAGCGUGGGGAGCAAACAGG
RNAcentral lists this ribosomal RNA (253 nucleotides) under uncultured bacterium. RNAcentral describes it as "partial 16S ribosomal RNA". It matches the Rfam family "Bacterial small subunit ribosomal RNA", at positions 524 to 776 of the family's 1533-position model. The record is from RNAcentral.